UACAGAGGGGGCAAGCGUUGUUCGGAAUUACUGGGCGUAAAGGGCGCGUAGGCGGCCUGUUAAGUCGAACGUGAAAUCCCUGGGCUCAACCCAGGAACUGCGUCCGAUACUGGCAGGCUUGAAUUCGGGAGAGGGAUGUGGAAUUCCAGGUGUAGCGGUGAAAUGCGUAGAUAUCUGGAGGAACACCGGUGGCGAAGGCGGCAUCCUGGACCGAUAUUGACGCUGAGGCGCGAAAGCCAGGGGAGCAAACGGG
This 253-nucleotide ribosomal RNA is filed under the name uncultured bacterium. Its description in RNAcentral is "partial 16S ribosomal RNA". It matches the Rfam family "Bacterial small subunit ribosomal RNA", at positions 524 to 776 of the family's 1533-position model. The record is from RNAcentral.